AUUGAACGCUGGCGGCAUGCCUUACACAUGCAAGUCGAACGGCAGCACGGGAGCAAUCCUGGUGGCGAGUGGCGAACGGGUGAGUAAUGUAUCGGAACGUACCUUUCAGUGGGGGAUAACGUAGCGAAAGUUACGCUAAUACCGCAUAUUCUGUGAGCAGGAAAGCAGGGGAUCGCAAGACCUUGCGCUGAUUGAGCGGCCGAUAUCAGAUUAGCUAGUUGGUGAGGUAAAGGCUCACCAAGGCGACGAUCUGUAGCGGGUCUGAGAGGAUGAUCCGCCACACUGGAACUGAGACACGGUCCAGACUCCUACGGGAGGCAGCAGUGGGGAAUUUUGGACAAUGGGCGCAAGCCUGAUCCAGCCAUGCCGCGUGAGUGAAGAAGGCCUCGGUUGUAAAGNUCUUCUAGCCGGAGAAACGACGAUGGUUAAGUAACCUCGUGUGGAGUGACGGUACCGGAAGU
This 461-nucleotide ribosomal RNA is filed under the name uncultured bacterium. RNAcentral describes it as "bacterial SSU rRNA". It matches the Rfam family "Bacterial small subunit ribosomal RNA", at positions 30 to 485 of the family's 1533-position model. The record is from RNAcentral.